This 254-nucleotide ribosomal RNA is filed under the name uncultured bacterium. RNAcentral describes it as "partial 16S ribosomal RNA". It matches the Rfam family "Bacterial small subunit ribosomal RNA", at positions 524 to 776 of the family's 1533-position model. The record is from RNAcentral.
UACGUAGGGUGCUAGCGUUGUUCGGAAUCAUUGGGCGUAAAGCGCGUGUAGGCUGUCAAUUAAGUCGGGUGUGAAAUCCCUGGGCUCAACCGAGGUAGUGCAUCCGAAACUAAUUGGCUAGAAGAUGGCAGAGGAAGGUGGAAUUCCUAGUGUAGAGGUGAAAUUCGUAGAUAUCGGGAGGAACACCAGUGGCGAAGGCGACUACCUGGCCUGUUUCUUGACGCUGAGGCGCGAAAGCUAGGGGAGCAAACGGG